GCCAGGGUUCCAUCUCCCAGCACAGGAUAAACCAGGCAUGGUGGUGCCUAGCCAUCUGUAACCCAGCACCUGGCAAGUGGGGUCAAGAGGAUCAGAAAAGUUCAAGGUCACACUCUGCUCCGAAGAGAUUCUAAGGCUCAUCAGUAAUGGCAGUACUGUCAGGCUCGGAGCCUUGACUACCUGCAAAUUUAAGGGCUCAAGGUAAUUACCGUGCAGCGCAGCCCAGCUCUGUUCCGGUUGCACGCAUCACAUGAACAAGACUUGGACUGCAGACCUUCACUGCACCUCGGAAAGCACAGCACUGAGGUAUGGGCACCUCAUUUGUGCAGUGCCAUGGAGGCCAGAAGACCAUGUCAGAUGUCCUGGAACUGGAGUUACAG
Molecule: long non-coding RNA, 380 nt
Organism: Mus musculus (house mouse)
Lineage: Eukaryota; Metazoa; Chordata; Mammalia; Rodentia; Muridae
Product: predicted gene, 51713
Exons: 3
Source: RefSeq, a predicted model, not a curated record